This 253-nucleotide ribosomal RNA is filed under the name uncultured bacterium. RNAcentral describes it as "partial 16S ribosomal RNA". It matches the Rfam family "Bacterial small subunit ribosomal RNA", at positions 524 to 776 of the family's 1533-position model. The record is from RNAcentral.
UACGUAGGUGGCGAGCGUUGUCCGGAUUUACUGGGCGUAAAGAGCGCGUAGGCGGCUGGUCAAGUCCGAUGUGAAAGCUCCCGGCUUAACUGGGAAAUUGCAUCGGAAACUGAUCGGCUGGAAGGUGGGAGAGGGAAGCGGAAUUCCCGGUGUAGUGGUGAAAUGCGUAGAUAUCGGGAGGAACACCAGUGGCGAAGGCGGCUACCUGGCCCAUUCUUGACGCUGAGGCGCGAAAGCUAGGGGAGCAAACGGG